CUGAAAGACUCAUGGAAAGGUGAUUUACAAUAGCAGGGUGCUAGUCUUAGCUCUGCCAGGGAGACCCAGCUAAACCUUGGAAAAGCCAUUUCACUGUCUAGGGCCUUAGUUUCUUCAUCUGCCCACAGAGUCUCCAGGGGUGCAGAGGUGCCGUUGGGCUUUGAUUAACAGCACAGUUCUGUUUACGGAAUAGACCUGAAAUCAACAUUUCUGGAUUGAUUUUCUGACCAGCGUAGCUCCCUGUGACUGACACAUUCCUCAGAGUAUGCUGUGAUCUGAGGGAGAUACAUUCAGAAGAAGGACUCCUAGGCAGGGGUAUAGGAAUGACCCGAAUGUUAAAAUUUAGAUCGUCUCUCCGCAUCCCUUCCAAGAGCUGGCAAUGAGCCUACAGUGUAAUUCAGGUAUAUACUUUCAAUUUUAAGACUUCGGUCAGCCCUUAAUGAUAAUUCUUCAAUAAAUGUUGUGGUUUAUAUUGGAAUUACAGAAAGCUCCUUGAUAAGCCUUUUGCUACAGGCCUAAGUUCACGUGUAGGUGCCAAAUUUAGAAAAGACGAUACAGGAUGCAUGUUGCAUAGGACAUUCUUUUAGCAAAAAAAAAAUUGUUGUUUAUCUGAAAUUCUGAUUUAACUGAAAACUUUGUAUUUUAGCGUUGGCUCUAAGAAUGUCCUGUUUUCAUUUCUGAUUGUUUUGAUGAUAGCAGAACCCAUUGCAACCUUCCAUGAUGUGUGAACUGUCAGAGAAAGUGCCUCCUCCUUCCUUAUCCAAUGGAAGAUUAUGCCUGAUUAGGGAGGUAAAAGAAGGCUGUGUAUGGAAGGUGAGUGUGAUGGACUGAACUGUGUUUUCCUAGAUUGAUAUAUCGAAGGCCUAACCCCUAGUGUGACUGUAUUUGGAGACUGGACUUUGUGGAGGCAAUUAAGGUUAAACAAAUCAUAAGAGUGGGACAUAGUCCACUAGGAUUGGUAGCCUUAUAAGAAGAGGAAGAGUUGGCCAGGCACGGUGGCUCAUGCUUGUAAUCCCAGCACUUUGGGAGGCCAAGAUGGGUGGAUCACAAGGUCAGGAGAUUGAGACCAUCCUGGCCAAAUAAUGAAACUCCAUCUCUACCAAAAAUACAAAAAUUAGCCGGGUGCGGUGGCACGUGCCUGUAAUCUCAGCUACUCAGGAGGCUGCGUCGGAAGAAUCCCUUGAACCAGGGAGUCAGAGGUUGCAAUGAGCUGAGAUCGUGCCACAGCAUUCCAGCCUGGUGACAAAGUGAGCCUCUGUCUACAAAAAAAAAAAAAAAAAAAAACUGAGAGGAAGAGUCAUCUCUUUCUCCCUCUCUCCAUGCAUUUGCACUGAGGAAAGGCAAGCCAGGAAGAGGGCCUUUACCAGAACCCAACCCCGCCGGCAUCCUGAUCUGGGACCUUCAGCCUCCAGAAUUAUGGGAAAAUACAUUUCUGUUGUUUAAGCCACUCA
This 1451-nucleotide long non-coding RNA is filed under the name Pan paniscus (pygmy chimpanzee). RNAcentral describes it as "lncRNA (ENSPPAG00000044723.1)". Lineage: Eukaryota; Metazoa; Chordata; Mammalia; Primates; Hominidae. The record is from RNAcentral.